GCUCGACAAGCAGCGGAAGGCGGGAAUCAACCUGCACUAAAAUCCCAUCCUUAUGCUUUAUUUGAUGCAUCUGUUUCAUUGCAGGGUCCUCUUCAUAAAGUUUACCACGGGAAGGAACAAGAUUAUGAGUUGAAGGUUGCCGAAUGUGAAAGGCGAGCCAUCGGUUUUCUUUACAAGGCAAUAAGCAAAGAUUCGAUUCUUGUUAUGUAUAGAAAGAUAGAGGACAAAUCAAAUUUUUGUUGGUUUGUAUGGAUUGUAACAUUUCCAUGGUUUGCAUUUGAUUUGUUUUAUAGGUUAUAUGUAUUUUUGCUUUCAUAUUCAAUGACACAUGACAUUUUUUGGC
This is a long non-coding RNA of Cynara cardunculus var. scolymus (artichoke), 343 nucleotides long. RefSeq lists it as uncharacterized. The record is from RefSeq and is a predicted model, not a curated record. NCBI's taxonomy places the organism in Eukaryota, Viridiplantae, Streptophyta, Magnoliopsida, Asterales, Asteraceae. The transcript is spliced from 2 exons.